Molecule: ribosomal RNA, 497 nt
Filed under: uncultured bacterium
Lineage: Bacteria
Description: partial 16S ribosomal RNA
Rfam family: Bacterial small subunit ribosomal RNA
Source: RNAcentral
GAUGAACGCUGGCGGCGUGCCUAAUACAUGCAAGUCGAGCGAAUAGAUGAGGAGCUUGCUCCUCUGACGUUAGCGGCGGACGGGUGAGUAACACGUGGAUAACCUACCUAUAAGACUGGGAUAACUUCGGGAAACCGGAGCUAAUACCGGAUAAUAUAUUGAACCGCAUGGUUCAAUAGUGAAAGACGGUUUUGCUGUCACUUAUAGAUGGAUCCGCGCCGCAUUAGCUAGUUGGUAAGGUAACGGCUUACCAAGGCGAUGAUGCGUAGCCGACCUGAGAGGGUGAUCGGCCACACUGGAACUGAGACACGGUCCAGACUCCUACGGGAGGCAGCAGUAGGGAAUCUUCCGCAAUGGGCGAAAGCCUGACGGUGCAACGCCGCGUGAGUGAUGAAGGUCUUCGGAUCGUAAAACUCUGUUAUUAGGGAAGAACAAAUGUGUAAGUAACUAUGCACGUCUUGACGGUACCUAAUCAGAAAGCCACGGCUAACUACGUG